RNAcentral lists this ribosomal RNA (450 nucleotides) under endosymbiont of Alviniconcha sp. RNAcentral's name for it is "bacterial SSU rRNA". It matches the Rfam family "Bacterial small subunit ribosomal RNA", at positions 130 to 573 of the family's 1533-position model. The record is from RNAcentral.
CUAUCAGUUGGGGACAACCUGUGGAAACGCAGGCUAAUACCGAAUACGUUCUACGGAAUAAAGGUGGCCUCUGCUUGCAAGCUAUCGCUGAUAGAUUGGCCCGCGUUGGAUUAGCUAGUUGGUGGGGUAAAGGCCUACCAAGGCGACGAUCCAUAGCUGGUUUGAGAGGAUGAUCAGCCACACUGGGACUGAGACACGGCCCAGACUCCUACGGGAGGCAGCAGUGGGGAAUAUUGGACAAUGGGCGCAAGCCUGAUCCAGCAAUGCCGCGUGUGUGAAGAAGGCCUGAGGGUUGUAAAGCACUUUCAAUAGUGAAGAAGGGUAAUAGAUUAAUACUCUAUUACAUUGACGUUAACUAUAGAAGAAGCACCGGCUAACUCUGUGCCAGCAGCCGCGGUAAUACAGAGGGUGCAAGCGUUAAUCGGAAUUACUGGGCGUAAAGCGCGCGUA